Molecule: ribosomal RNA, 468 nt
Filed under: uncultured bacterium
Lineage: Bacteria
Description: partial 16S ribosomal RNA
Rfam family: Bacterial small subunit ribosomal RNA
Source: RNAcentral
GAUGAACGCUGGCGGCGUGCUUAACACAUGCAAGUCGAACGGAAAGGCCCAAGCUUGCUUGGGUACUCGAGUGGCGAACGGGUGAGUAACACGUGGGUGAUCUGCCCUGCACUUCGGGAUAAGCCUGGGAAACUGGGUCUAAUACCGGAUAGGACGAUGGUUUGGAUGCCAUUGUGGAAAGUUUUUUCGGUGUGGGAUGAGCUCGCGGCCUAUCAGCUUGUUGGUGGGGUAAUGGCCUACCAAGGCGUCGACGGGUAGCCGGCCUGAGAGGGUGUACGGCCACAUUGGGACUGAGAUGCGGCCCAGACUCCUACGGGAGGCAGCAAUGGGGAAUAUUGCACAAUGGGCGCAAGCCUGAUGCAGCGACGCCGCGUGGGGGAUGACGGCCUUCGGGUUGUAAACUCCGUUCGCUAGGGACGAAGCGUUUUUGUGACGGUACCUGGAGAAGAAGCACCGGCUAACUACGUG